AGGGAUGUAGCGCAGCUUGGUAGCACGUUUGUUUUGGGUACAAAAUGUCACGGGUUCAAAUAUCCCUACCUA
RNAcentral lists this transfer RNA (72 nucleotides) under Bletilla striata. RNAcentral's name for it is "tRNA-Pro". Lineage: Eukaryota; Viridiplantae; Streptophyta; Magnoliopsida; Asparagales; Orchidaceae. RNAcentral also lists the same sequence under 7 other names. The record is from RNAcentral.